RNAcentral lists this long non-coding RNA (414 nucleotides) under Carica papaya (papaya). RNAcentral describes it as "long non-coding RNA (CPAP_LNC004552)". Lineage: Eukaryota; Viridiplantae; Streptophyta; Magnoliopsida; Brassicales; Caricaceae. The record is from RNAcentral.
UAUCAUCAAUAAAUCAAACAAUAACUGUCACUCUUUUUACCAGUCUGCUGGUAUCCAUGGGGGUUCAUAGGGAUGUCCCCACUGCACGUGAACCCUUUCAUUUAACAUUCUCAAUUACAGGCCGUCCCCAUACCCCGUCCGGUAUGAGUGUCAAUUUACAAAAUAUCAAUACCUCGUUCGUUCUGAGGGUGAAGCGUGUUGUCUCCAUACCCCAUCUAGUAUGAGCGUCAAAUUAUCAAGUCUCCCUACCCCGUCCGGUAUGAGACAACGUUCACGGUGGGGUUCCCUAUGUACCAUGUCCGUCCACCAUCUCCCAGGAUAUCCAGUAAGGCUGUCGUUUCAUCUACUCAUUUCAUCACACAAUUUUUACCGUUUAACCUUUGUUUUUUUCAAUUUAACAGUAAACACAUAGAA